Long non-coding RNA from Anthonomus grandis grandis, 659 nucleotides. RefSeq lists it as uncharacterized. The record is from RefSeq and is a predicted model, not a curated record. Lineage: Eukaryota; Metazoa; Arthropoda; Insecta; Coleoptera; Curculionidae. The transcript has 2 exons.
CAGCAAUUAAGCUAUCCUAGCACAUACUAGUAACUACAAAAAAAUUAGGCUAAGAUAGGGUCUACCUUUUCACAUCCGCAUUAAGCGAAACUAUCUGUCAUACUCUAGAACCAGAUAAAGAAUGAAUCUAUUAAAAAUAGGAUUGUCAUUCCCUCCAAAUUUUAAGGAAUGCAUUUAUCUGUCAAGUACCUAGGUGUUGACAUGCUGGGUUUAACUACUGGGUACUAUCUGGUACCAACAUUGGUUUAAGUAAUUUGCAACUAUGGAGCAAUCUAUAACUUGAGGCCAUGGUUUAGCAACAAUAAUUUACAAAAAAAAACUGACAGACCAGAUUGACAUUAACAUUCUUAUCACUAUUGAUCCUUAUGAUUUGAACAAAAUAAACAAAUAGUUAAUAUGUGCUCAGUAUUCAUUAAAAUCUAAAAUAGGCCAAAUUGACCUGCAAGGUAAAAUCAAUGCAAAAUCAAUGGCAGUUCCUAAUUCUAUUCAAUCAACAAAACAAUGAAACAAUAUCCCAUAUUAUUAUUUACUUUCCUCAUCCAAUAAUGGUUUUCCUUGCGUUUCAGAUCGGGUAUGUUAGGAGGGACCAUCUUAACGGUAUCAUAUCUGUGUAGUAUGUAUAUUUAUGUAUGAUUUUUAAAUAAAUUAUUUUAUGAAAC